AACUUGCCAGGUAAUCACAGGUGUUAUAUGAAACUUGCCAGGUACUCACAGUUGUAAUAUGAAACUUGCCAGGUACUCACAGUUGUAAUAUGAAACAAAUACCCCAAAAUGGGCAUGAAACUCGCCAGGUACUCACAGGUGUAAUAUGAAACAAAUACCCCAAGAUGGGCAUGAAACUUGCCAGGUACUCACAGGUGUAAUAUGAAACAAAUACCCCAAGAUGGGCAUGAAACUUGCCAGGUACUCACAGGUGUAAUAUGAAACAAAUACCCCAAGAUGGGCAUGAAACUUGCCAGGUACUCACAGGUGUAAUAUGAAACAAAUACCCCAAGAUGGGCAUGAAACUUGCCAGGUACUCACAGGUGUAAUAUGAAACAAAUACCCCAAGAUGGGCAUGAAGCUUGCCAGGUACUCACAGGUGUAAUAUGAAACAAAUACCCCAAGAUGGGCAUGAAACUUGCCAGGUACUCACAGUUGUAAUCAGGAUCUCCACAUAUUUUUGUGUAAAUAAGUCAUCUUAUCCAUUUGUACCAACAAUGCUGACUCUGUUUAUGUACCAAUGAUAGUCUCUAUUAGUAAAUUAUAGUUCAUAUGGAUUAUAUCUGAUUUUGAAAAGAUUAUGUGGCCGGUUUGGGGAUUGAAUCUGCGAUCCACAGAUUGGUAGUCAGGUGCUCAACCAACUGAGCAAGCUGGCCCAGUUUUAUCAUGUUUGAAAAAAAUAACACUACAAAAACAUUACACCUAAAGAUGAAACUAUUAACCCUUUGCCACUUAGAUACGUACUUUUACGCUUAUUAGAAAGUUUAAUUGAAUUAGAGACCUGUCUCACUAGAUUGAAGUUGUAAAAGCUUCAUUUCCAACCCUUAGAUACUGAUGAGCAGCAAACAGCAUAAAACCUGAACAGACUGCGAGUUACUCGCAGGCUGUUCUGGUUUUAUUCUGUUUGCACACAGCCAUUUUCACUUUGAUUGUGAGCAGGAUAGGGUUAAAUAAAGUACCCAAAAAUGGCUGUGGAGCUUCUAGGUAUAAAUAUACAUUACCUGCUAAAUUGAAUUAUGAGGA
Molecule: long non-coding RNA, 1062 nt
Organism: Dreissena polymorpha
Lineage: Eukaryota; Metazoa; Mollusca; Bivalvia; Myida; Dreissenidae
Exons: 3
Source: RefSeq, a predicted model, not a curated record